GGUGUUUAGGCUGGGGUACUCAUAGAUAUUCCCUGACUAGCUGGACCGUGGUAGUAGUGAGGAACGUGACAUUUUCGAGCUACCUUUGUAGAUCACAUCUCGUUAGCAGGAAGGAUAGGGUUUAUAGGUGCGGGUCGAACAUCCUUUGUGUUGUCUAGAUUCCGUUAGCCUCCCCAUUAGAACAGUAGAUCAUCCUUACCAAGGUUAGAAGGAGACUACGGUUGCAGUCUUCUCUAUUUAUCACUCACAUCGAAAGACAUUCUUUGUGCCUAAAGGUUAGUAGUGAUAGACCGGUUAGUCAGAUGCACUCUUUCUCCUAGUGGUAAAAAAAUAAAUACGAUACUCUGGAUAAUUUUCCGGGUGAAGUGCUCACCGAUAUCCGUGCGCUUGCGGAUCAAUUCCUUAUUGCGUUCCCAAAUAUCAACAAGCAUUUCUAGCGCCGUUGCCGGGGAGAAAGACGGUUUGCUGAGAUAACCUGUGUCUUGCUAUUAGCUUGUAUCUAUACUUUUAUCUUUUCUUAUCUUUUAUAUUCUUUAUUUAUUUUUCUUUAUUCUUACCUUAUGGAAAACCAAAAUUCUAAAUCGAUCCAUGAGUCUGCAAUCCCUUUAGCAACUGACCUUUUACCAUGGGAAUCAUCACAGCCUA
Molecule: long non-coding RNA, 645 nt
Filed under: Sorghum bicolor (sorghum)
Lineage: Eukaryota; Viridiplantae; Streptophyta; Magnoliopsida; Poales; Poaceae
Description: long non-coding RNA (SBIC_LNC014619)
Source: RNAcentral